Mus pahari (shrew mouse) is the source of this 104-nucleotide small nuclear RNA. The record is from RefSeq and is a predicted model, not a curated record. Lineage: Eukaryota; Metazoa; Chordata; Mammalia; Rodentia; Muridae.
AUGCUCGCUUCGGCAGCACAUAUACUAAAACUGGAAUGGUACAGAGAUUAGCAUGGCCUCUGUGUAAGGAUGGCAUGCAAAUUCAUAAUGUGUUCCAUAUUUUU